RNAcentral lists this ribosomal RNA (602 nucleotides) under Argulus foliaceus. RNAcentral's name for it is "SSU rRNA". It matches the Rfam family "Eukaryotic small subunit ribosomal RNA", at positions 620 to 1216 of the family's 1831-position model. The record is from RNAcentral. Lineage: Eukaryota; Metazoa; Arthropoda; Ichthyostraca; Arguloida; Argulidae.
UUAAAAGCUCGUAGUUGGAUCCCAGUUGCAGACGGGCGGUCCGCCUCAUGGCGGUUCACUGCCCCGUUCUCGACAUACCUCCGGUUAUAUUUGUCCCGCGAUGCUCUUUACCGGGUGUCGCGGGGGGCCGGUACGUUUACUUUGAAAAAAUUAGAGUGCUCAAAGCAGGCGAUGGCCAGAAUAAUGGUGCAUGGAAUAAUGGAAUAGGACCUCGGUUCUAUCUUGUUGGUUCUUCGGAACACGAGGUAAUGAUUAAUAGGGACGGACGGGGGCAUUCGUAUUGCGACGUUAGAGGUGAAAUUCUUGGAUCGUCGCAAGACGAACUACUGCGAAAGCAUUUGCCAAGAAUGUUUUCGUUAAUCAAGAACGAAAGUUAGAGGUUCGAAGGCGAUCAGAUACCGCCCUAGUUCUAACCAUAAACGAUGCCAACCAGCGAUCCGUCGGCGUUACUUCGAAUGACCCGACGAGCAGCUUCCGGGAAACCAAAGUUUCUGGGUUCCGGGGGAAGUAUGGUUGCAAAGCCGAAACUUAAAGGAAUUGACGGAAGGGCACCACCAGGAGUGGAGCCUGCGGCUUAAUUUGACCCAAACACGGGAUGUCCC